GGUUAUGACCAUGUCAGAAUGAAUGCCCAAAUUUGUUUGAUUUUUGAAGCUAAGAAGUCCUGAGCCUGGCUAGUACUUGGAUGGGAGAUCACAUUUAAAUCCUGGCACUGCAGAUA
Molecule: ribosomal RNA, 116 nt
Organism: Alligator mississippiensis (American alligator)
Lineage: Eukaryota; Metazoa; Chordata; Crocodylia; Alligatoridae
Source: Rfam